AGAGUUUGAUCAUGGCUCAGGACGAACGCUGGCGGCGUGCUUAACACAUGCAAGUCGAGCGGAAAGGCCCACUUGUGGGUACUCGAGCGGCGAACGGGUGAGUAUCACGUGAGUAAUCUGCCCCCUACUUUUGGAUAACCCUCGGAAACGGGGGCUAAUACGGAAUAUUCAGCAUCUCCUGCAUGGGUGGUGUUGGAAAGAUUUGUUGGUGGGGGAUGAGCUCGCGGCCUAUCAGCUUGAUGGUGGGGUAAUGGCCUACCAUGGCUUUGACGGGUAGCCGGCCUGAGAGGGUGUCCGGCCACACUGGGACUGAGACACGGCCCAGACUCCUACGGGAGGCAGCAGUGGGGAAUAUUGGACAAUGGGCGGAAGCCUGAUCCAGCAACGCCGCGUGAGGGAUGACGGCCUUCGGGUUGUAAACCUCUUUCGCCUGUGACGAAGCUCCCAGUUUUUGUUGGGGGUGACGGUAGUGGGUAAAGAG
RNAcentral lists this ribosomal RNA (481 nucleotides) under uncultured Micromonosporineae bacterium. RNAcentral's name for it is "bacterial SSU rRNA". It matches the Rfam family "Bacterial small subunit ribosomal RNA", at positions 8 to 489 of the family's 1533-position model. Lineage: Bacteria; Bacillati; Actinomycetota; Actinomycetes; Micromonosporales. The record is from RNAcentral.